Molecule: small nuclear RNA, 107 nt
Filed under: Dasypus novemcinctus (nine-banded armadillo)
Lineage: Eukaryota; Metazoa; Chordata; Mammalia; Cingulata; Dasypodidae
Source: RNAcentral
AUGCUCACUUCAGCAGCAUAUAUAUUAAAAUUGGAAUGAUACAAAGAAGAUUAGCAUGGCCCCUGCACAAAGAUGAUGUGCAAAUUCAUGAAGGAUUCCAUAUCCUU